AAAAUAGAAAAUUAAUAAUUUUUUUUGUUUUUAAAAAUUUUUUUAAUAAAAAUAUUUUUAUCUUUUUAGUAAUUAAAAAUGAAAAAAUAAAUAUUAUUUAUAGUGAAAAGUAUUGAAAAAGAAAUUUGAAAUAAAUUGAAAAAUAAUUUUUUAAAAAGAAAAAUUUAUUUUUUGUUCCUUGUGUAUCAGGAUUAAUUAAAAAAAUAUUUUUAAUUAAAAAUAAUUUAUAAUUUAAAAGAUUUAUAAAUUUUUGAUUUUUAUUAUUUUAAAUAUAUUAGUUAAAAAUUUAUUGAAAUGAGACGUUAAUCGUUUUUAAAGUUAUAUAAUUUUUAAAGAAAUAAAUUUAAUUUAUUAAUAAAUUUUUAUUAUAAUUAUAUUUAAUUAUGAUUAUAAUUAAUUUAUUAAAAUAUUUUAAGGGUUGAGCUUUAAAAUAAAAAUUUAAAAAUAAUUUUAAAAAAGUAAUAAAUAAUAAUCUUAAAAAUAGAUAUUUAUAGUUAAUUUGUUUUAAUUAAUUUUAGUUUUUUUAAUAUUUAUUAUUUUAUAAUAUUUUAAGUUUUUAUUUAAAUAAUUAUUUUAAUUAAAAAAAUAAUUUAAUAAUAAUUAAAUUAGUAAUUUUUAUAUUAUUUUAAAUAAUAUUAAUAAUUUUUGUUAUAUUUAAUUUAUGAACUAGGCAAUAUUGUUUUUAACUGUUUAACAAAAACAUUGUUUUUUUUAUAUUUUAAAAAAUAAGACCUGCACACUGAUAUUUUAAAGAGCCGCGGUAAUUUGACCGUGCAAAGGUAGCAUAAUCAUUAGUUUUUUAAUUGAAGACUGGAAUGAAAGGUUUAAUAAGAAAUGAUCUUUAUUAUUUAAAAAUUUAAUGAAUUUAUUGUUUUAGUAAAAAAACUAAAAUGAUAAAAAAAGACGAUAAGACCCUAUAAAGCUUUAUAAUAUAAAUUUAUAUUAUUUUAUUAGAAUAGUAAAAAUUUUGUAAAUUAGUUAUUUGAUUGGGGUGAUUUAAAGAUUUAAUUAACUCUUUAUAUUAUUUAUUUAAUAAUAGUUAAAAUAAAAGAUCCUGAUAUUUUGGAUUUUAAAAUUAAGUUACUUUAGGGAUAACAGCGUAAUUUUUUUAGAGAGUUCAUAUCGAUAAAAGAGUUUGCGACCUCGAUGUUGGAUUAAGAUAUAAUUUUAGGUGUAGAAGUUUAAAUUUUUAGUCUGUUCGACUAUAUAUUCUUACAUGAUCUGAGUUCAAACCGGUUUAAGCCAGGUUGGUUUCUAUCUUUUUUUAAUUAUUAUAUUUUAGUACGAAAGGACCAAAUAUAAAAAAUUAUUUUUUUGAAAAUGAAUAAAAUUAAUAUAUUAAAAAUUUUUAUAUAUUUAUUUUAGUUU
This 1368-nucleotide ribosomal RNA is filed under the name Microchironomus tabarui. RNAcentral describes it as "16S ribosomal RNA". Lineage: Eukaryota; Metazoa; Arthropoda; Insecta; Diptera; Chironomidae. The record is from RNAcentral.